AUUGAACGCUGGCGGCAGGCCUAACACAUGCAAGUCGAGCGGAUGAAGGGAGCUUGCUCCUGGAUUCAGCGGCGGACGGGUGAGUAUGCCUAGGAAUCUGCCUGGUAGUGGGGGAUAACGUCCGGAAACGGGCGCUAAUACCGCAUACGUCCUGAGGGAGAAAGUGGGGGAUCUUCGGACAUCACGCUAUCAGAUGAGCCUAGGUCGGAUUAGCUAGUUGGUGGGGUAAAGGCCUACCAAGGCGACGAUCCGUAACUGGUCUGAGAGGAUGAUCAGUCACACUGGAACUGAGACACGGUCCAGACUCCUACGGGAGGCAGCAGUGGGGAAUAUUGGACAAUGGGCGAAAGCCUGAUCCAGCCAUGCCGCGUGUGUGAAGAAGGUCUUCGGAUUGUAAAGCACUUUAAGUUGGGAGGAAGGGCAGUAAGUUAAUACCUUGCUGUUUUGACGUUACCAACAGAAUAAGCACCGGCUAACUUCGUG
This 483-nucleotide ribosomal RNA is filed under the name uncultured bacterium. RNAcentral's name for it is "partial 16S ribosomal RNA". It matches the Rfam family "Bacterial small subunit ribosomal RNA", at positions 30 to 507 of the family's 1533-position model. The record is from RNAcentral.